UGUUGUUCAAGCCACCCAAUCCAUAGUACUUUCUGAUGGCAGCCCUGGCAAACUAACACACAGGGUGAUAGAAGCAGUGUGAGCAAUGGGGAACGCUGCACCCAAGACUUGGAAACAUUGCCAAAAAGAGGAAGAACACAUAUUCCUUUACACUUUGAUGUGUGGAUAUUGAAAAGAGAACAGGUCCUGAAAGGAAGCUCUGCCUUCUGUGAUACUGACUGAUGAGAGAAAGAGGAGGAGGAGAGAGGAGAAGAGGAGAGGAAAGGAGAAGGAAGAGCAGCCCCAUCAGGUCACACGACGGUUGCUGAAGAUCUAGGCAUCAGUUCUUACCAGGAGCAUAGGAGGGGUGCCAGUACAUCUGUGAAUGGCUAUUGGGUUAGCCAACCUUCUGUGUCUGCCACACGCCAGAUGGUUAAAUAAAG
Molecule: long non-coding RNA, 422 nt
Filed under: Equus asinus (donkey)
Lineage: Eukaryota; Metazoa; Chordata; Mammalia; Perissodactyla; Equidae
Description: lncRNA (ENSEASG00005035238.1, ENSEASG00020002319.1)
Source: RNAcentral